This 451-nucleotide ribosomal RNA is filed under the name uncultured bacterium. Its description in RNAcentral is "bacterial SSU rRNA". It matches the Rfam family "Bacterial small subunit ribosomal RNA", at positions 354 to 796 of the family's 1533-position model. The record is from RNAcentral.
GUCGAGAAUCUUUUCCAAUGGGCGAAAGCCUGAGAAUGCGACGUCGCGUGAGGGAUGAAGCGUUUCGAUGUGUAAACCUCUUUUAUCAGGGAGGAAUACCUAGAGGUGAACAGCUUCCUAGGUUUGACUGUACCUGAUGAAUAAGUCACGGCUAACUCCGUGCCAGCAGCCGCGGUAAUACGGAGGUGGCUAGCGUUACUCGGUUUGACUGGGUGUAAAGGGUCCGCAGGCGGUCAUCUAAGUAGAAAGUUAAAUCCUUCGGCUUAACCGAAGAAGCGCUUUCUAAACUAUUUGACUCGAGGCUGAAAGAGGAGAGCGGAACUGCUGGUGUAAGGGUGAAAUCUGUGGAUAUCAGCAGGAACGUCUAUGGCGCAAGCAGCUCUCUGGUUCAGUCCUGACGCUCAGGGACGAAAGCUAGGGGAGCAAACAGGAUUAGAAACCCGUGUAGUCC